Y RNA from Pongo abelii (Sumatran orangutan), 129 nucleotides. It matches the Rfam family "Y RNA". Rfam says of the family: Y RNAs are components of the Ro ribonucleoprotein particle (Ro RNP), in association with Ro60 and La proteins. The Y RNAs and Ro60 and La proteins are well conserved, but the function of the Ro RNP is not known. NCBI's taxonomy places the organism in Eukaryota, Metazoa, Chordata, Mammalia, Primates, Hominidae. The record is from Ensembl.
GGCUGGGGUCCAAAGGUAGUGAGUUAAGGCAAUUGAUUGUUCAUAGUCAGUUACAGAUUUAACUCCUUGUUCUACUCUUUCCCUUCUUCUCACUACUACACUUUCACUACUACACUUGACUAGUUUUAA